GUGGGGAAUUUUGGACAAUGGGCGCAAGCCUGAUCCAGCCAUGCCGCGUGCAGGAUGAAGGCCUUCGGGUUGUAAACUGCUUUUGUACGGAACGAAAAAGCUCUCUCUAAUACAGGGGGUGAAUGACGGUACCGUAAGAAUAAGCACCGGCUAACUACGUGCCAACAGCCGCGGUAAUACGUAGGGUGCAAGCGUUAAUCGGAAUGACUGGGCGUAAAGCGUGCGCAGGCGGUUAUGUAAGACAGAGGUGAAAUCCCCGGGCUCAACCUGGGAACUGCCUUUGUGACUGCAAGGCUAGAGUGCGGCAGAGGGGGAUGGAAUUCCGCGUGUAGCAGUGAAAUGCGUAGAUAUGCGGAGGAACACCGAUGGCGAAGGCAAUCCCCUGGGCCUGCACUGACGCUCAUGCACGAAAGCGUGGGGAGCAAACAGGAUUAGAAACCCUGGUAGUCC
Molecule: ribosomal RNA, 450 nt
Filed under: uncultured bacterium
Lineage: Bacteria
Description: partial 16S ribosomal RNA
Rfam family: Bacterial small subunit ribosomal RNA
Source: RNAcentral